Long non-coding RNA from Pseudophryne corroboree (corroboree frog), 971 nucleotides. RefSeq lists it as uncharacterized. NCBI's taxonomy places the organism in Eukaryota, Metazoa, Chordata, Amphibia, Anura, Myobatrachidae. The transcript has 2 exons. The record is from RefSeq and is a predicted model, not a curated record.
GGCAAGUAUGCAUAACAGCCGCAACAUUGAAAGUACUACCCAAUCAUUAAACAAAAUCUGGUGCAUCCUCUGAAGGGAGGGGUCCUGUACAGUGUCUGAAGUCACAGUCCUCGAGUAAGAAAGAACCAGCUCCUGUUUCCAAGUGCUCUAGAGCACCGGCUCUAUUUUGCUGGAGGUUUCGUCUGAAUCACAACCGCUGCACAGGUAUAUCUCAAAGAGUCUUGGAGGUCUAAUUAAUCUUGGUUAAAAGAUGGCUUCCCCAUCUCCCCGUGGUAUUGGAGUGACACUAAGCCAAGCAGCUCAGUAAAUAUUGCAUCCAGGGAGCUGGUUUCCAAGAAAAUAAUGGGUUCAUUAUUUCCUAUGGAAAAUGAAAGCCUUCACCAACAGUGACUGUGCUUGCAACACACACAUCUGCCAACAAAUACCUGGCAUCGGGUAAAACACAUUCUGGGAUCCUGUAUACAGAAAAUACAAGCUUGUCAUGUCCAGAACCAAGAAACAAAGAAAAGAUGCUAUAGUGCCAUCUUGUCUACAGGAGGAAUGGUGUGGUCUCUUCCCCCACAGCAGAUACUGUGCAUGUCUUCUGUCGAGUCCUGUUGCUGUGCAUAUAAUACAAGGGGCAGGGACAGCUUAUAACACAAAGCCACAGACUGAACAUGAUGGUAUUUAGAAUUCUGUAUUUUAUGUACAUAAACAUAAGCUAUGAAUGUAAAUAUGUACUGUGUCCAGGGGCUGGUAAGAAAUAUGAAUACUCCUGAUAAGAACAUAAGAACUUUGAUAAGCAAGAGAGAAGAUGAAAAUGGACCAUUAGUCAUAAACUAAGUACAACUGGUAUAAUUUGUCUCAUUAAAUUUACUUAGUUACCUCAUUUAUCUUUUUUAAGAUGCUUCCAAAAGGCCAGACAAUAUAAAAAAUCUAAGAUGUACAGAUUUAAAAAAAUGAAUAAAACCUACAGUAACAAUGUAAAAUAA